RNAcentral lists this microRNA (24 nucleotides) under Ornithorhynchus anatinus (platypus). RNAcentral's name for it is "Oan-Mir-190-P3_3p* (star (passenger))". Lineage: Eukaryota; Metazoa; Chordata; Mammalia; Monotremata; Ornithorhynchidae. The record is from RNAcentral.
ACCUGAAUAUCAGACAUAUUCCUA